CCUACGGGUGGCAGCAGUGAGGAAUAUUGGUCAAUGGGCGCGAGCCUGAACCAGCCAAGUAGCGUGAAGGAUGACGGCCCUACGGGUUGUAAACUUCUUUUAUAAAGGAAUAAAGUGCGGCACGUGUGCCUCUUUGCAUGUACCUUAUGAAUAAGCAUCGGCUAACUCCGUGCCAGCAGCCGCGGUAAUACGGAGGAUCCGAGCGUUAUCCGGAUUUAUUGGGUUUAAAGGGUGCGUAGGCGGAAUAUCCAGUCAGCGGUAAAAUCGAGGGGCUCAACCCCGUCCAGCAGUGGGAACUGGGGUGCUUGAGUGGGCGAGAAGUAUGCGGAAUGCGUGGUGUAGCGGGGAAAUGCUUAGAUAUGACGCAGAACCCCGAGUGCGAAGGCAGCUGACCGGCGCCGAACUGACGCUGAUGCACGAAAGCGUGGGUAUCGAACAGGAUUAGAUACCCUAGUAGUC
This 459-nucleotide ribosomal RNA is filed under the name uncultured bacterium. RNAcentral describes it as "partial 16S ribosomal RNA". It matches the Rfam family "Bacterial small subunit ribosomal RNA", at positions 338 to 795 of the family's 1533-position model. The record is from RNAcentral.